UGGGGAAUAUUGGACAAUGGGCGAAAGCCUGAUCCAGCCAUGCCGCGUGUGUGAAGAAGGUCUUCGGAUUGUAAAGCACUUUAAGUUGGGAGGAAGGGCAGUAAGCGAAUACCUUGCUGUUUUGACGCUACCGACAGAAUAAGCACCGGCUAACUCUGUGCCAGCAGCCGCGGUAAUACAGAGGGUGCAAGCGUUAAUCGGAAUUACUGGGCGUAAAGCGCGCGUAGGUGGUUCGUUAAGUUGAAUGUGAAAGCCCCGGGCGCAACCUGGGAACUGCAGCCAAAACUGGCGGGCUAGAGUAGGGCAGAGGGUGGUGGAAUUUCCUGUGUAGCGGUGAAAUGCGUAGAUAUAGGAAGGAACACCAGUGGCGAAGGCGACCACCUGGGCUCAUACUGACACUGAGGUGCGAAAGCGUGGGGAGCAAACAGG
This 429-nucleotide ribosomal RNA is filed under the name Pseudomonadota bacterium. RNAcentral describes it as "Proteobacteria bacterium partial 16S ribosomal RNA". It matches the Rfam family "Bacterial small subunit ribosomal RNA", at positions 355 to 776 of the family's 1533-position model. Lineage: Bacteria; Pseudomonadati; Pseudomonadota. The record is from RNAcentral.